Molecule: ribosomal RNA, 485 nt
Filed under: Bacillus amyloliquefaciens
Lineage: Bacteria; Bacillati; Bacillota; Bacilli; Caryophanales; Bacillaceae
Description: bacterial SSU rRNA
Rfam family: Bacterial small subunit ribosomal RNA
Source: RNAcentral
GAUCGAAAGGUUUUCGGAUCGUAAAGCUCUGUUGUUAGGGAAGAACAAGUGCCGUUCAAAUAGGGCGGCACCUUGACGGUACCUAACCAGAAAGCCACGGCUAACUACGUGCCAGCAGCCGCGGUAAUACGUAGGUGGCAAGCGUUGUCCGGAAUUAUUGGGCGUAAAGGGCUCGCAGGCGGUUUCUUAAGUCUGAUGUGAAAGCCCCCGGCUCAACCGGGGAGGGUCAUUGGAAACUGGGGAACUUGAGUGCAGAAGAGGAGAGUGGAAUUCCACGUGUAGCGGUGAAAUGCGUAGAGAUGUGGAGGAACACCAGUGGCGAAGGCGACUCUCUGGUCUGUAACUGACGCUGAGGAGCGAAAGCGUGGGGAGCGAACAGGAUUAGAUACCCUGGUAGUCCACGCCGUAAACGAUGAGUGCUAAGUGUUAGGGGGUUUCCGCCCCUUAGUGCUGCAGCUAACGCAUUAAGCACUCCGCCUGGGGAG